GUACUCACUUUGGUAGCACACAUUAUAAAACUGGAAGGUUCCAGAGAAGACUAGCCUGGCCCCCGCCCAAGCAUGACAUGCAGAUUCAGGAAGGAUUCCAUAUUUCA
Otolemur garnettii (small-eared galago) is the source of this 107-nucleotide non-coding RNA. Lineage: Eukaryota; Metazoa; Chordata; Mammalia; Primates; Galagidae. The record is from Rfam.